Peromyscus californicus insignis is the source of this 75-nucleotide small nucleolar RNA. RefSeq annotates it as small nucleolar RNA SNORD58. The record is from RefSeq and is a predicted model, not a curated record. Lineage: Eukaryota; Metazoa; Chordata; Mammalia; Rodentia; Cricetidae. The transcript has a single exon.
CUGCGUUGAUGUCAUUUCUUAGGACACCUUUGGAUUGAUCAUGAAAACAACUAUACGUCCGUCCCCACUGGCGGU